ACAAGGAUUUGUGCUAUUCUAAACGUAACAAAGAGACGUGGCACCAUAGAGCCUUCAUCUUUGUCCCAUGCGCAUUAGAUCUUUAGGUCAUAGUCAUAAGCUCAUUCAAAGAGUGGAAAACCCCAUAACUGAAUCAACGACAUCAAACCUAAUUUCAAAAAUCAGGAUGAACAGAAAUAAAUCUCAUCUUCCCCACUAUGAUCCUCUUUACACCCAAAAAUUAGGAGAAUUCUACUCCUUGCGAUCAGGAUUGAUUAGGGUCGAAUCGAUUCUUUCUAAUUAUAUGUAAAGGAACUGUUGCAGGACAUCACCUUGAAGCUUCUAUCUGAUGUCUCUAAGAAACCACGAAUUUUCCUGUUGGCUUACAUUGCUGCUGACAAGGAGCUUUGAGAUUACUCAUGGAUUUCAAUAGUCUACCAGAUAAAUGGUUAGAUUGUUCCCUUCUCUUUUGCCCACUAGUCAAUUAUUUGAUUUGAUUCUUAUUCUAGGUUUCUUAGAAGCAACAGUUUUUCCAUCAACAUCUAUCGUCUUAUCUUGUAACUUGUAAGGCAAUGAAUAUCUGUAUUCCUAGCGGUAAAAGAGCUAAGGUAGGAGCCUCGAGUUUUAAUUGAUUGUUUAUUUGGUAUUUCUGAAAUCCUCUCUUUUUAAUAUUGUAAGAUUUUGAUAUCUGGCACUUGAUAGACAUGAAUGGCAGAGCGGGGUCUUUGUGGAUUAUGGAUAAUACUGGAUAUAUAUCUAGUUCAUGCAGCUGACCCCCUGAAUCAGAUUAGCGAUUAAAUCUUUGAUUUUGUUGUUCUUCAACUUCGAUAUGGAGGCUUGGUUUGCUCAUAGUGUUGUGGACUUGUAGUUAUGAUGGAGUUUCGCUUCACAAUGAGUAUGCUUGAUAAUGUAUUUGCAUUACUUCACACGAUGCCAAGAUAGUACAAUGAGUAUGCUUGAUAAUGUAUUUGCACCGAGUUUAUUAUCACAAUUGAUACAAUUAAAGAUAGUUUCCUUUUAAUGAUGGCUACUUGGCUUCUAUUGGUUUCUUUUUCUUUUUGGAUAACAGCGUAGGCUGAGGGAAGGGGAGACUAGGUGAGAUUCAAUCCCAGAACCUUGCCUAGAAAAGCCGGUACAUGUUCCAACUGAAACAAGACCUGAUUCUCGCUUCUGUUGGUUUCUUUAAUGCUGUGUGAAUCGUAAAUUGUGAAUCAUUCAUAAUUGUAAUAACUCUUUCUUCUAGCACAGAAGGAAGCCCCCUCAACCUGUCCAUUGCACCUUAUUCUAGCAACGCAAGACCUUAACCAUGGGGGCCAAAAGAGCCAGCAUCUCCCAAGAUGGUUCUGCGUGCAGAAACAUGGUAUCUGAUCCUUAAUACAGAUGGGGUUGGCUAAUUAUCUAGGAAUCUAGGUCCAUGCAUGAAGACUUCAGAAAAUUCUAGUUCAGAUUUUCUUUGUCACGGUAAUAUUGGUUUUGUGUUUUUUUGUUUUUAAAAUUACAAAACACUGAUCAUGUUAGGCGAAACUGUUUUAAAAAUCAACCUUUCUAAGUUAUGUCAUAAUGAAAACGAAAUUGCUUUGUCCACUUUUGUGAUUCUGGAGUUUCAGUUUUUCCGUUUCCAGAAUGGACAUGUCAGCAGUCAGUAUCACCGCAUAUUCUCUCUUCUCCGUCGGUGAGUUGUGAUACACUGUUUCUCAUUCUUUUCCUGAUUUGUUUGCCAAAACUGAAGCUCCUAAUUCCAGAGCCGGAUCAAAUUUAAGCAAAUUCAAUCACAAACCUCCUUAAUUCCUCAUUUCAUUCAUUUACAAUCACCCUAAUUCCAGAGUUAGCCGACAAUUUUCUUAAUUAAUCAUUUGUGCAAUUUGUGAAAAUGUGAAAGAAUAAUGAAAAAAUUUGUUGAUGAAGAAAGUCGAAUUUUAGAGUGAAAAAUAUACCGAGUUUGUGUAGGUGAUGAGAAUUAUGAAGAUGGAGAUGGGACUUGCACAGGCAUAGGCCAUAGUGGUUGAUAUUAAAAGGCACAUGUUGAUUAUGUUUGUAUUCUCUUCGAAAACCCAUUACUUUUCUAAUGCUCAUGUUAUUCAACUAAAAGAAAGCACCCUGUUUGCUCUUCAAUGUAGAAUUUCAAGUACCCUUUACUUUUUGUUUGUUCUCCUUGCAAUAUAUUGGCCAUUGGGUAUAUUUUUCAUGGGUUGUUGAUAAACAUAUCUCAACUAUGAUUACAAAACUAAAGCUUUAUUUUCUCAUCUUCCUACAUCUUUCCCUCUUCUUUUUUCAAUUUGAUUUAGUUUUUGAUUUGGGAUCCUACUUGCUGUAGUGGUCGAACAUCAAUAUGAUGAUAAAGAUUAAAGACAAACGAACCUUAUCGUUUAGAAAGCACUAUAUUUGAUCUUCAUUUGAGCGAUGGUACCACUGGAUUUGGAUGAACAAUAGUUAUGUCAUCCUUUUUUGAAUUAUAGGGUAGGUCGAGGAAAAUUUACAUUUUGUUUCUUGGAGAAUUUAUGGUCAAUUUGAAUAUAUAGUUGUAUUCCUAUACACUAUGAAAAAAUGGUUGUCGGUUUUUUUUUCAACAAAACAAAAUGGAAAAACUCCAUGGAGUAAUGCAACUUUUCAUCAAUUUUUUAAAAAUAAUCUCAACUUUUGAUUAAUCUUGAAUAAUCUGACCUUUGAGGUAUGUUGCCCAAGAAUGUUGUUUUUAUAUAUAUUACGUGUUGAAAUUAUUUUUAUAAAUUAUUUCUCUACCUCUCCCAUGCCUCCAUUGAAGCACCCUGUUUCCAAGCUUAAGGUGGUAGAGGCAAUUUUCCUUUUGGUAUCACGCCAUUGUAUCUUCUUCUCCCUCUUCUCCCAAUUUCUUUCCUCUUGAGUAUAGAACAAAAAUGAGAAUGGACUAAAUUUGUAAACCCCCAUUAAAAAAAGACUUUCUUUGAGUUUUCUUCGUGAAAUUGUAUGAAAUGUUAAUCUUUUCCCCAAUUUGAUUAGGAACAAAGACCAAAAGCGUAAAAUAAUAAUGAACAAAGCAUAAAUUACAAAAUUAUUUGAUUUUAGAUUAUGAUAGAUUAUGAUAGACUAUGAUAGACUAUAAUAUUAGGGCUCAUUAAAUUAUGUGCACUUUAUUAAUGUGAAGUUGCAAAUGAUGUUUGUUAUUAAGGGUUGAUCGGAAGCAACUUUUUUGUUAUUACGAGCAAGAGUAAGGUUGUAUAUAUCGGACUUCUCCAAACCCGAUCUAGAUUGGGAGACCAUUAAUGACAUUGUGUAAUGGAAUGCUGUAAAAUCAUACUCAGCUAAUGAGUCAAAAAACACAUCCCAAUUUUAUUACAUAAUGAUUCGAUGAAUAUUUCUUACCCUUUCUUCCCUCUAUUUAAUUUCUUCAUUUCUUAUUUCUUAAGCUAAUAAUUACUAAUUACUACUCCCUCCGUUCCUUUUUGAUCUUCACAUUACUAUAACGGGUAGUUUCAAAAGUUUUUCCACUUUAGAAUACUUACUAUUUUUAGAAAGCUUUUAUCUCACUUUUACCCCUUAAAAUCCCCCUUUUCUUUUAAUGUACCCAUUUUCUUUUAUUUAUAAUUAUUUUCUCUCUCAUACUUCCAAUAUAAUCAUUACUUCACACUACUAUUUAAUUAAAAUAAUACCCACUACAACCUCAUACUUCCAAUACAAUCAUUACUUCCCACUAUUAUAUAAUUAAAAUAAUACUCACUACCACCAAAGAUUCUCUUUUUCUUAAUCUUUGUGAAAUACCCAAAUAGAAAGAACAAAUAGGAACAAAGGGAGUAAUUACUAUUUCUUCUGCCCUUUGAAUUUG
Long non-coding RNA from Amaranthus tricolor (Joseph's coat), 3778 nucleotides. RefSeq lists it as uncharacterized. NCBI's taxonomy places the organism in Eukaryota, Viridiplantae, Streptophyta, Magnoliopsida, Caryophyllales, Amaranthaceae. The record is from RefSeq and is a predicted model, not a curated record. The transcript is spliced from 3 exons.